AACAGGUUGAGAUUCCUGUACUAGUUAAACUUGUUUGAACAAUGGAGGGACGCAGAAGGCUAAACGAUCCGGACGAUUGGAAAUGUCCGGUCAAGCAGUGAGGUGUGAGAUGAGUUAAAUGCUUGUUUCUUUAACAUUGAGCUGUGACGAGGACCGAAAUUUAAGUAGGGAAGUCGUUGAUGUCACGCUGCCGAGAAAAGCUUCUAGUUAGAGUUUAAUUACCCGUACCGCAGACCGACACAGGUAGUCGAGGAGAGUAUCCUCAGGUGAGCGAGUGAACUCUCGUUAAGGAACUCGGCAAAAUGACCCCGUAACUUCGGAAUAAGGGGUGCUGCACGCAAGUGUAGCCGCAGUGAAAAGGCCCAGGCGACUGUUUAUCAAAAACACAGGUUUCUGCAAAAUCGUAAGAUGACGUAUAGGGGCUGACGCCUAGCCCAGUGCUGGAAGGUUAAAAGGAUGGGUUAGCGUAAGCGAAGCUCAGAACUGAAGCCCCAGUAACGGCGGCCGUAACCAUAACGGUCCUAAGGUAGCGAAAUUCCUUGUCGGGUAAGUUCCGACCCGCACGAAAGGCGUAAUGAUUUGGGCACUGUCUCGACAAUGCACCCGGUGAAAUUGAAGUACCAGUGAAGAUGCUGGUUACCUGCGCCAGGACGGAAAGACCCCAUGGAGCUUUACUCUAGCUUGAUUCUGGGAUUCGGUACGAUAUGUACAGGAUAGGUGGGAGACUGUGAAGAUAUGACGCCAGUUGUAUCGGAGUCGCUGUUGGGAUACCACCCUUGUCGUAUUGGAUUUCUAACCAUUACCCGUGAUCCGGGUAGGGGACAAAGUCAGGUGGGGAGUUUGACUGGGGCGGUCGCCUCCGAAAGAGUAUCGGAGGCGCUCAAAGGUUCUCUCAGAAUGGUUGGAAACCAUUCGCAGAGUGCAAAGGCAGAAGAGAGCUUGACUGUGACACCGACGGGUGGAGCAGGUACGAAAGUAGGACUUAGUGAUCCGGUGGUAGAAAGUGGGAUUGCCAUCGCUCAACGGAUAAAAGCUACCCUGGGGAUAACAGGCUUAUCACUCCCAAGAGUUCACAUCGACGGAGUGGUUUGGCACCUCGAUGUCGGCUCAUCGCAUCCUGGGGCUGUAGUAGGUCCCAAGGGUUGGGCUGUUCGCCCAUUAAAGCGGUACGCGAGCUGGGUUCAGAACGUCGUGAGACAGUUCGGUCCCUAUCCGGCGUAGGCGAAGGAUAUUUGAGAGGAGCUGUCCUUAGUACGAGAGGACCGGGGAUGGACGAACCUCUGGUGUACCGGUUGCAGAUCAAAUGCAUAGCCGGGUAGCCAAGUUUGGAAGGGAUAAACGCUGAAGGCAUCUAAGCGUGAAGCCCCCCUCAAGAUGAGAUAUCCAAUACGCAAGUAGAGAGACCCCUUGAAGACGACGAGGUAGAUAGGGCAGAGGUGGAAGUGCAGUAAUGUAUGGAGCUGACUGUUACUAAUCGGUC
RNAcentral lists this ribosomal RNA (1480 nucleotides) under Blattella germanica (German cockroach). Its description in RNAcentral is "bacterial LSU rRNA". It matches the Rfam family "Bacterial large subunit ribosomal RNA", at positions 1424 to 2910 of the family's 2925-position model. The record is from RNAcentral. Lineage: Eukaryota; Metazoa; Arthropoda; Insecta; Blattodea; Blattellidae.